CCUGCCAACAGCAGGCCACAUUUCCUGCCAUCAGUCGGUGAGGAGCUAAUUGUAAUACAUCAGCAUACAAUUAAAAGGCCAUCCCGCUAGGCUCUUGGACCCCCACCAUAUCGACCAUCUACGUCGACGGGAGAACACACCAACGUGUUGCACAACAGCACACAGGUGAUGUGCACGACGGCCUUCACUGAGAUGCUUCAACCUAGUCCACAACCCAGGCAGCUGCCUGUUUCUCAAGUUUACAAGUCUUAGCGCAUUCUGGGCAAACCAUGGAAGGACAGAAUCACAAAUGUGGCAGUCUUCUCAAAGGUAAAUCUCCCAGGUAUGUUAGCAGAGACGACUUCACUGGCUCGGGCACAUUCACAGGAUGGAGGUUGGCCACAUAGCCAAGGAUUUUCUGUGUGAUAAGGUAGCCGGAGCCAGAAGACCAGUGGGAUGCACAAAACUC
This is a long non-coding RNA of Carcharodon carcharias (great white shark), 448 nucleotides long. RefSeq lists it as uncharacterized. The transcript has 3 exons. The record is from RefSeq and is a predicted model, not a curated record. Lineage: Eukaryota; Metazoa; Chordata; Chondrichthyes; Lamniformes; Lamnidae.